GUGGGGAAUAUUGGACAAUGGGGGGAACCCUGAUCCAGCCAUGCCGCGUGUGUGAAGAAGGCCUUUUGGUUGUAAAGCACUUUAAGCGAGGAGGAGGCUACCGAGAUUAAUACUCUUGGAUAGUGGACGUUACUCGCAGAAUAAGCACCGGCUAACUCUGUGCCAGCAGCCGCGGUAAUACAGAGGGUGCAAGCGUUAAUCGGAUUUACUGGGCGUAAAGCGCGCGUAGGUGGCCAAUUAAGUCAAAUGUGAAAUCCCCGAGCUUAACUUGUGAAUUGCAUUCGAUACUGGUUGGCUAGAGUAUGGGAGAGGAUGGUAGAAUUCCAGGUGUAGCGGUGAAAUGCGUAGAGAUCUGGAGGAAUACCGAUGGCGAAGGCAGCCAUCUGGCCUAAUACUGACACUGAGGUGCGAAAGCAUGGGGAGCAAACAGGAUUAGAUACCCGGGUAGUCC
Molecule: ribosomal RNA, 451 nt
Filed under: uncultured bacterium
Lineage: Bacteria
Description: partial 16S ribosomal RNA
Rfam family: Bacterial small subunit ribosomal RNA
Source: RNAcentral